UUACCAGUGUGCACAUUUAACAUUAUUGUUAAAUGUGCCAACUGGUAAUG
RNAcentral lists this microRNA precursor (50 nucleotides) under Hydra vulgaris (swiftwater hydra). Its description in RNAcentral is "Hvu-Mir-3003-P2_pre stem-loop". The record is from RNAcentral. Lineage: Eukaryota; Metazoa; Cnidaria; Hydrozoa; Anthoathecata; Hydridae.